UACGUAGGGGGCGAGCGUUGUCCGGAUUUAUUGGGCGUAAAGAGCGUGUAGGCGGCCAUGUAGGUCCGUUGUGAAAACUCGAGGCUCAACCUCGAGACGCCGAUGGAAACCAUGUGGCUAGAGUCCGGAAGAGGAGAGUGGAAUUCCUGGUGUAGCGGUGAAAUGCGCAGAUAUCAGGAAGAACACCGGUGGCGAAGGCGGGUCUCUGGGCCGAUACUGACGCUGAGGAGCGAAAGCGUGGGGAGCAAACAGG
This 253-nucleotide ribosomal RNA is filed under the name uncultured bacterium. RNAcentral describes it as "partial 16S ribosomal RNA". It matches the Rfam family "Bacterial small subunit ribosomal RNA", at positions 524 to 776 of the family's 1533-position model. The record is from RNAcentral.